This is a long non-coding RNA of Anopheles merus, 705 nucleotides long. RefSeq lists it as uncharacterized. NCBI's taxonomy places the organism in Eukaryota, Metazoa, Arthropoda, Insecta, Diptera, Culicidae. The record is from RefSeq and is a predicted model, not a curated record. The transcript has 3 exons.
AGCUGGCCGUGGCUGCUGUACUGUUCUGAUGGGAAGGACCCUACGAAAGAGAAACGAAAAUCCAAAUUAAAAUCAUAUCUCAAAAUCGCUACGCUCGCAACGCCCAAACCGUUCAACACCUUUCUAAUAACGCCCGGUGUCGCUCGCCAGUACAUUUGCACGGAUUGUGAAAAGUGAAAAUCACUAAAUCUCCCCGCAGGCCAAUCCGGCUCAAAAGCGGGCGUUUGCAGUUUGAUAAACCUGUCAUCCUACCCGCCCUUGCGAAUGGCUCGUAAAUUGGACAAAAAAAAAACACACACACACUCACGGAACAACAACCGUUGCGUGACACCCGGGCGGGAUCAAGCCAGCCGCCUGAAAAGAUUCCACCUGUUGCGCUGUUGGCGGACCGAUUGUUCGUUGGCCCGCCGGUGGGAAUGAUGUCUCACUUGACGAUUCCGAAAUCCUUCAUCACGUUCGUCAUCUCCGGCACAAACGCGGCGCGAUUUGAAACAAAUGGGACACACAUUUUGAAACCCUCCCCGCCUUCCCCCCACACAAAAACAGAACAGGCCCAGCACAAUGAGCUCGGAGGACAUUCGACAGCUCGAGGCAACCUGUCACGGCGACGAUCGAAUCGGAUCGUCCAGACCCUGAUCGCGCCUCAAAGGCACCUUUCGUUGGCUGAACUUGCUGCGCACUGGAUCGAGAAAGGCUUACCUGCAG